CAUCAGGAAUAACUAGAAUAUUUUCAAUGAGGGAACCAACUAUAUAUAUAGUUUGCACCAUUAAUCGUCAUAAGUUGAACUUGUGUGGAGGUUUGAAACCAAACAUGUACUUCAUGAUGUCUACUGUAUGUGAUAGUUAUUUCACUUGUACUAUACAUCCAUCUCAAACACUGGAUUCUCAAGGUUUUCCUAUGUUCAUGCAUGUAACAUAUAUUGGACUAGAGCAAUAAAUAAAGCAGGUGUCUAUGCUCUAAAGUAAUGGUUAAUAACAUUAAGGAUUUCUGUGAAAUAUUACAACAGUUGUAGAUUCAUGCAUAUUUAAUUUGCAAUUUCAUCUUCAUACCACACCAUCUCCCUUAAGAUCAAUAGCCUAGGCUUCUCUUUGUUUAGCUCCACCAACAUCUUGCUCUCAAUGGAUAAGGGUUUUCCUGAAUGGCGUUGUUUUUCUUGUUGCUUUGUGUUUUCUGGUGUACAUGUUGAAUUGCAUGCAAAAAAAAUGUUACAAAAUGUAUGUGAGCAAUUAUCGGCAUAAGCUAGCUCCAAUGGGAAGCAAAAGAGCAACAGAGCAUUGGUUUUAUGGGUAUUUUAUGCACUUCUCCAAUAAAAUUUAAUUAGUUGCAUAAAAAGGAAGCUGGCUAUGUUUAAUCUUGCUUCAUACACUCUUAUUCAACUGCAUGCCCUCCAGAAUUUACAUACCACUGAACCAGCACAUGUUCACUACAUAUACAUAUAUAUACACUGUUAUCUUGGUGCGGUAGAUAUAUAUAUGUUUGUAUCGUUUGUAUAUGGGUUCGUGUUAGUGAUCGGAACCAGUUGCUGGCAUAUUUGUAAUUUGUGUAUCCAGUGUACUAUACCGGCCUAGGUUUAAGUCGGGGUCCCAGAAAACAUGGCGUCGAAAACAAAUGACUCGUGGUUCCCAAUUUACUAGAGGAAUAUUAUGUCCUAAUAUUUUGACUGUUUCACUACUGAGCUUCAAAAAUUAAUUUAAAGUUGCACGUACAGUUCGCACUCCCUAAAGUUUAGCUCAAUAUCCACCAUUGAUAUAAUUAGCUGGUUAUAUAUAGGGAGCGUAGAAAAUUUCGUGUGGUGUGGCAGUGCCUUGCAUGCUGCUACCCUCUGCGUAUAUAAGCAGGAAGCGAUGCGCCUGCUCUGAGGCGCCACUCGAUAAACUUUGUUUUAAUAAAUUCCAAGAGAGUACUUUCUUGUGGAGACACUGCAAAAUGGAGUCGUCACGCAAGUUCUUCCCUGCCGUUGUCCUCCUACUUCUCAUCAUCGCGGCCACAGAUAUGGCGGCCGUGCAGGCGAGGGAGUGCGAGAAGGAUAGUGCCAAAUUCGUUGGGCUUUGCAUGAACGUAGACAACUGCGCCAAUGUGUGCCGUGGUGAAGGGUUCGUCUCUGCCAGGUGCAGCACAUUCCGCCGUCGCUGCGUCUGCAUUAAGCCGUGCUAGAUCAAGUCAAGGAUGCGCGUGAGAUCGCCGGCCGAUAUGAUCGACCACCAGAUGCGUGCAUCGUCAAGUUUUUCUGUCAUACAUGUAUGGUGCCUGCAUCAUGCAUGUAUCUAUGUGUGGCACUCCUUGGAUAAGUCAAUCUUCAGCUUAUUGAAAGGCUUGUGCUUAUUAAUUUGCUCCAGUCAACAAUAAACCUGGCAGAUAUUUUCUUACUUCCCUUGUUAAGGAUUAGUAAGGUCGUCCAAGCACCAAACUAAGUCUAUAACAUCUUACCAAAGUUAGUUCAUUUUCCUCUCAACAUGACUCACCGGGUUUUCAUUGUAACACCGAUGCUUGUACUCCUGUUUACAAUAUAUAUCUAAUUAUAUAGAUACAGAGUUUCUGCUUGA
Long non-coding RNA from Panicum virgatum (switchgrass), 1837 nucleotides. RefSeq lists it as uncharacterized. NCBI's taxonomy places the organism in Eukaryota, Viridiplantae, Streptophyta, Magnoliopsida, Poales, Poaceae. The transcript has 2 exons. The record is from RefSeq and is a predicted model, not a curated record.